GGCUUAGAGUUUGAUCAUGGCUCAGGAUGAACGCUGGCGGCGUGCCUAACACAUGCAAGUCGAACGGAGUCAAUUGAGGAAGUUUUCGGAUGGAAUCAGCUGACUUAGUGGCGGACGGGUGAGUAACGCGUGGGAAACCUGCCCUGUACUGGGGGAUAACACUUAGAAAUAGGUGCUAAAACCGCAUAAGCGCACGGGAUCGCAUGGUCUUGUGUGAAAAACUCCGGUGGUACAGGAUGGUCCCGCGUCUGAUUAGCCAGUUGGCAGGGUAACGGCCUACCAAAGCGACGAUCAGUAGCCGGCCUGAGAGGGUGGACGGCCACAUUGGGACUGAGACACGGCCCAAACUCCUACGGGAGGCAGCAGUGGGGAAUAUUGCACAAUGGGGGAAACCCUGAUGCAGCGACGCCGCGUGAGUGAAGAAGUAUUUCGGUAUGUAAAGCUCUAUCAGCAGGGAAGAAAAUGACGGUACCUGAGUAAGAAGCCCCGGCUAACUACGUGCCAGCAGCCGCGGUAAUACGUAGGGGGCAAGCGUUAUCCGGAUUUACUGGGUGUAAAGGGAGCGUAGACGGUGAAGCAAGUCUGGAGUGAAAACCCGGGGCUUAACCCCGGGAUUGCUUUGGAAACUGUUUAACUGGAGUGCAGGAGAGGUAAGCGGAAUUCCUAGUGUAGCGGUGAAAUGCGUAGAUAUUAGGAGGAACACCAGUGGCGAAGGCGGCUUACUGGACUGUAACUGACGUUGAGGCUCGAAAGCGUGGGGAGCAAACAGGAUUAGAUACCCUGGUAGUCCACGCGGUAAACGAUGAUUGCUAGGUGUAGGUGGGUAAGGACCCCAUCGUGCCGCAGCUAAACGCAUAAGCAAUCCACCUGGGGAGU
Molecule: ribosomal RNA, 876 nt
Filed under: uncultured bacterium
Lineage: Bacteria
Description: bacterial SSU rRNA
Rfam family: Bacterial small subunit ribosomal RNA
Source: RNAcentral